CCUACGGGCGGCAGCAGUGGGGAAUAUUGCACAAUGGGCGCAAGCCUGAUGCAGCCAUGCCGCGUGUGUGAAGAAGGCCUUCGGGUUGUAAAGCACUUUCAGCGGGGAGGAAGGCGGUGAGGUUAAUAACCUCAUCGAUUGACGUUACCCGCAGAAGAAGCACCGGCUAACUCCGUGCCAGCAGCCGCGGUAAUACGGAGGGUGCAAGCGUUAAUCGGAAUUACUGGGCGUAAAGCGCACGCAGGCGGUCUGUCAAGUCGGAUGUGAAAUCCCCGGGCUCAACCUGGGAACUGCAUUCGAAACUGGCAGGCUAGAGUCUUGUAGAGGGGGGUAGAAUUUCAGGUGUAGCGGUGAAAUGCGUAGAGAUCUGGAGGAAUACCGGUGGCGAAGGCGGCCCCCUGGACAAAGACUGACGCUCAGGUGCGAAAGCGUGGGGAGCAAACAGGAUUAAUACCCCGGUAGUC
Molecule: ribosomal RNA, 464 nt
Filed under: uncultured Klebsiella sp.
Lineage: Bacteria; Pseudomonadati; Pseudomonadota; Gammaproteobacteria; Enterobacterales; Enterobacteriaceae
Description: bacterial SSU rRNA
Rfam family: Bacterial small subunit ribosomal RNA
Source: RNAcentral